Molecule: ribosomal RNA, 369 nt
Filed under: Hemidactylus greeffii (Greeffs giant gecko)
Lineage: Eukaryota; Metazoa; Chordata; Lepidosauria; Squamata; Gekkonidae
Description: partial 12S ribosomal RNA
Source: RNAcentral
GUUAACCCAGUCAGCAUAUUAAACCACCUGACCGCCAGAGAACUACAAGUAAAAAACUUAAAACUCAAAGGACUUGACGGUAUCCCACAUCAACCUAGAGGAGCCUGUCCUAUAAUCGAUAACCCGCGCUAUACCUCACCUGUUCUAGCACAUAACAGCCUAUAUACCGCCGCCUCCAGCCCACCUUGCAAAAGAACCCGCAGUGAGCCAAGCAGUCACCACUAGUACGCCAGGUCAAGGUGUAGCCAACGAACAGGCAGAGAUGGGCUACAUUUUCUAAUAACAGAAAACACCAACAGCAACAUGAAACCUUACGCCCAAAGGCGGAUUUAGCAGUAAGGCGCGCAAGACCUGCUCGCCUGAAGAUGG